AUUUAUGAUGAAAAACAAAAUUAAUUUAGAUACAUGGCCAUAAUGACUCCGUUACGUCCACGAAUGGGGAAAACGGCAACUUUAUGCGUAGCAGUAGGAAUUUGGACCGUUAGCGGAAUAUUUUCCGUUCCGAAUUUGUUGGUUUACAAAGUUUUUCAUCACGUCGAAGGAGAUAGACACAUUUGUUACCCGGAAUGGACGAACAGUUCUCAUCAGAAAACGUACGAAAUACUCUUUCUCUUCAUUACCUACGUGGUACCAAUCGGAAGUAUGACGUUUGCUUACGCAAGAAUUGGAAUUGAAUUGUGGGGAUCGCAAAGCAUUGGGGAGUGUACUCAACGUCAAAUGGAAAAUAUUAGAAAUAAAAGGAGGGUAGUAAAAAUGAUGAUGAUAGUGGUAAUAAUCUUCGCAGUUUGUUGGUUACCGUACGAUCUUUACUUUAUCAUAACCUCAUUUUACCCGGAAGUACAAAAUCAACCGUACAUUCAAGAAACUUAUUUGGCCAUUUACUGGUUGGCAAUGAGCAACUCAAUGUAUAACCCAAUCAUAUAUUGCUGGCUGAACGCGAGAUUUCGCCGUGGUUUUAAACAAGUUUUUUCUUGGUUACCUUACGUAAAUGUAAGCCCUGCUAAAUUAACGAGGAGGGGUGUGUUUACGAGCAACAGAAGAUCGUAUUCCGGAUCACCGGAUCAUAAUAGGAUCGUUCGGAAUGGUUUGUAUGCUCCCAACAAAACAGAAAAUCACUGAAAAAUGUUUUAAAGCAGCGCAUCUUGUUACGCUAUUUUUCCAAGCUUUCUAUUAAAGUAAAAAACCUCUUUUUUCUCUCUGUUUUUCCUGCUUUGCGGAAAGCUGUAGACGAUACCAGGAACUGUAAGAACUCCACUUUACAAUGCUUGUGCAAAUCAAAGCUCAGCGGAUACAUGUU
RNAcentral lists this unclassified non-coding RNA (925 nucleotides) under Onthophagus taurus. RNAcentral describes it as "tachykinin-like peptides receptor 99D, transcript variant X1". The record is from RNAcentral. Lineage: Eukaryota; Metazoa; Arthropoda; Insecta; Coleoptera; Scarabaeidae.